AAGGGCUGCAGAAAUGCCAACAAACCAAUGGACCUGAUCUUGGAUGAGGCCAAAGUCUGGAACAGAAGAUCCUGAUUCACUUAAUUUCCCUGGGGAUUGGAAAGACUUCAUUGUUGAAAAUAGUUCUAAAAAGUACAUGGCCACAGAGAUGACUACCAAACAACCAAGCCAAUCAAGGAAGAGGCCAAUGCAGGAGAGAAGAGGACUGAGAAGAGAACACACUGACCUCAGCAAUUUCUGUGGCCAUGUCAGAGGGCACCAGGAAGGUUACCUGAGCCUAUAAGACUGACUGGGAUAAGGUUCAGGAAAAGAGGGACAGGAAAGGAAAAAUUUGGUUUAACUAAAUCUAAGGCUCACUUAAAACUGUUUUGGUAAGUUUCCAAUUAUGCUUUUUAACAGAGCAAAUUUUACAAUCUUCUAAAUGUAAAAGUUGGAAAGACUCUACAAAUGAAAACAAUCUGGUGACACCUAAAGCCUAAAAUAAGCCCCAAAUGAUCUUAAUUAUUUAACUACCUCAGGCUAAGUGAGGUCGAAUACUUUACAAAGUGAAAUCUGAAUCAACCAUCUUUUCACUCACGCAGAGAACGCAGAAAGUGUCAUUAGGAAAAACUGGGCUUACAUCUCAGAUGCACCACAUCUCAACUGUGUGGUCACAACCAGUAGCUGAACAUUUCAGGAUCUGACUGUGGUCAUCUGUAAAAUGGGAACAAGGUCUGCUUGGGCUCUCUCCGAAGACUGGAUUAGAGCUUCCACAAGUUAACUUGA
Molecule: long non-coding RNA, 765 nt
Filed under: Heterocephalus glaber (naked mole-rat)
Lineage: Eukaryota; Metazoa; Chordata; Mammalia; Rodentia; Bathyergidae
Description: lncRNA (ENSHGLG00000026305.2)
Source: RNAcentral